RNAcentral lists this long non-coding RNA (480 nucleotides) under Pan troglodytes (chimpanzee). RNAcentral describes it as "lincRNA". The record is from RNAcentral. Lineage: Eukaryota; Metazoa; Chordata; Mammalia; Primates; Hominidae.
GCCCCCGCAACAGCCCCCUCUCAGCAGGACGCGGAAAGGUCCUCUGUGGACAGUGAGCUGGACUGACCUCACAACCCUCCAGUAUGUGCAGUGGCUGAGAAUGACCCACUCCCAGCAACUUUCUGCAGCCAAGGGGUUAAUCCUCCCUGACCUGAAGCCUGACAUGCGGGCUUGUAUGUGUCCAGGAAGUCUAGUGAAUUCGACCAUGAAUCCAGACAUGGCCAGUGGCUAAAUCCUGUGGGAAGACACUGUGCUUCUCUCUGACCCAUGAACAUUCUGCUAGUCAAGCUCUCUGUCACAAAGACAACUUGAAGAGACAGUGUGGACCUCAAGAAGAUACCAUCGUCACUCUUACCAAUGCAACUGUGGUGAACAGGACCACUAUUAUUCCUUAGAUCAAAAGGACAGCACAUUCAACAGCGUCCUCAUGGCAUGCCAGCAAUUUGCAUAGGAUGUUCAUAAUUAAACUUUGAUUAUCUA